This is a long non-coding RNA of Alnus glutinosa, 675 nucleotides long. RefSeq lists it as uncharacterized. The transcript is spliced from 3 exons. Lineage: Eukaryota; Viridiplantae; Streptophyta; Magnoliopsida; Fagales; Betulaceae. The record is from RefSeq and is a predicted model, not a curated record.
UCUUUUCUUUUCUCACCUAAACGCAUGCACCCUCUCUUCCUUCUUUCUUUUUCUUCUCCUCUACUCCCCUUCGUUCCCCACACAGCAGCUCGCCUCUUCUUUUUCCCUUCCCUUUCUUCUUCCUCUCCUCUCACUCGCACUCACGCACACAUAGCAACCCAUGAGAGAGCCCGAAGUGCAGAAAUGCCAAGAGAGAGAACAGAUCGUGAGAGAGAGAUUUUGAAAUGGAUGCUGUCCAGCCAUGGGUAGAAGAAGAAAAGAUGGGGUUUUUGGCCAUGGAUGUCCGGUGAGGAUCGUGUUAUAAUUGGAGACUUCAAUGGGUUCUCCAAUGUAGAGUUCGAGUAACUAGAAUCUAGUGGAAGUUCGAGUUAUGGGUCCAAUGCAGCCAAGAUGUUCCUUUGGCUACAGGUACUCCGGUCGUAGUUGAGGGUAUUGUAGGAGUGCACUUGGGAUAUUAUGACCAAAGCUCGCCGCGACGAUCGUAAUUGCAGGACCACAGUUGUCCACUAUUUUAUAGGUUUUGUUUAUGGCUUGUGACGCUUGUGUCACUUGUUAUUGUAUAAGUCAUUCAUGUUGUUUAAUUAUUAUGUUGAUAAGAUUUAAACAUAUAGAUGUUAAAUGGCUCUGUAUUGUAAAUAACUUGUGAUAGAUGUAUAAGCUAUAUGCUUUCCGCUA